Molecule: long non-coding RNA, 491 nt
Organism: Clupea harengus (Atlantic herring)
Lineage: Eukaryota; Metazoa; Chordata; Actinopteri; Clupeiformes; Clupeidae
Exons: 2
Source: RefSeq, a predicted model, not a curated record
UGACUAUAAACCCAACCAUAAGUAACAGAAUGUAUGACUGAUUUGGUAAUGUGUUUCAUACAAUUUUUUUAAUACAUCUAAACUAAUACUCCUAUCCAACUCACUCCUUGUGAGUGGUAUUUGGACUACAUCAAUGCAUUCCUUUAGGCAAAUCCUGCUGGACCACGGCCACGUCCACCGGAGCCUGGCGCUUCUCUCUCUCUGCUGGAACUGGGGAUGAGGAAGGUUGACCAUGAAGAUGUGCGGAUGCUGUACAAGCGGUACUUGCGUACAGAAAUUGCUUACUACCAGCUGAAAAUGAGGAAGAUCCACAAGGAGAUUGCAUUGCUUGAUAGGCAGCUGGAUGUUACUGUAACCAUGUAAAGCAAAGCUUUGCCUUAAGUGUUUGUGAGCUUUGGCAUGAAUUGUAACUGAACUGAAAUUAUUUUUCUUGUGCACCUUAAUUUACAGGCUGACCAAUAGAGUACAAAUAAAGGCUUUAUUUUCUACAA